UUUAAAGGAAGAAUAACUAAUAUAUAAUAUGAAAACAAAACAAAUUAAAAUAACUAAAACAUGUAAACAAUGGAACAUAGAUUGGGCUUAUGGCAAGGCUAAGAGGCCCAACUAGGGCGCAGGCUAGAGCGCGGGUCGGAUCCAUUUGACCUGGUUCGGUUAGUAACAACAAAUGGAACAAACAUAACCUAGAAUCUAAACCGCACAGCUGCUUACACUUUAAGUAGAAUAGAACGCGCUUCAAGCAAAGAAAAAUCCCCCUUCCUGAUUCAUUCAUGGCAGAAAUCCCUAUUCCAACAUUUCAAUCAAAAUUGAAACCAAUCAGAAAUGAAAUCCUCAUUCAGAAACUAAACCCCAAAAACCUAAACAAUAGUAAAAAUUCCUCUUCUUUUAGAAACUUCAAUCGAAAAUGAAUCAAUAUGAAAGCUAUGGUAUAUCAGAAUUGAAAUAGACCCCAAACUCACCAUUUCACUCUCUGUAUAUGUUGAAAUCGCAAGGGCAAUGAGCAAAAAGAAAUUGAAAAGAGCAGAAGUAAAGUUUUAUGGAAGGGAAACAUCUUACCCCUAAGAACACAACAAUUCAAGUAAGGUCCUAAUUCUUUUGAUGUUGCUUAUGAUGUUGAAAAUUUGAUUGCUAUUCUCUGUGAAAAAGAAAAGACUCGGUUUUUGUUUCUAAAAAAAUUUCAUUUUUUUCUCUUGUGAAGAAAAUCAAUUUGUUUUCUGAAGAAAUAAUCUCUUCUUUUUUCUCUCUAUUUCUUUUGACAAAAACAAGUAUGUUAUCUCCUUUCAAAAAAUCUAUUUAUCCCUCUUCACUAUGGUGUCAACUCUGCUUGUUAUAUACUGAAAAAAUAAUGUUUGAUGUUGUAAGCUGAUGGAAAGAAAUUAGAGUUACUUUAAUUUUGAUGCAGAAAAAACGUUAAUUU
This 922-nucleotide long non-coding RNA is filed under the name Lathyrus oleraceus (garden pea). RNAcentral describes it as "Pisum sativum (pea) long non-coding RNA (PSAT_LNC035215)". Lineage: Eukaryota; Viridiplantae; Streptophyta; Magnoliopsida; Fabales; Fabaceae. The record is from RNAcentral.